Long non-coding RNA from Astatotilapia calliptera (eastern happy), 1132 nucleotides. The record is from Ensembl. Lineage: Eukaryota; Metazoa; Chordata; Actinopteri; Cichliformes; Cichlidae.
CCAGUUUCAGUUUGGUCGUAUUUGCUGAGCUGCUGUGGUGCGUUCAGGGGCGGUGCGUUCACAGUGAUAUGUGAUGAGGAUGAGGAAAAUGUGAAGGUGCACCUUCGCUUUCCUCAGCCACAAAUCAUUAGCUGAGUGAAUGCUGAACCAGUGUAUGAUUGAUUGGCGUGUGUCCUUUUGUAACACCAGUCCGCCCUCUCAGCAGAUGAAACCUCAGGGGUCGCUGUACCUCUUUUGGCAUUGGUGCUGAAAAUAAAGUCCCCGAAUUGGCCCUUCGGAGGGUGUGAGGUGCUCACAAGGUUUCUUGAAGGCUGACUUAAAAAAGUGUUUUUGUUUGUGAACUUGUGACAUGUGUAGUAGUUUCAUAUAUUACUGUGAAACUCCUUGUAAACCUGAAAAUAAAUUGGGAUUCUUCGCUAAAUUAGGAGGCGAUGCUGUUUGAUUUUCUUUGAUGGUUAGUGUUUUCCUGGAUUACUGCAAUUCUUCAUUUCAAAUACAACAACACAAAACACAAACAUUUUAAUAUAUUAGCUGACUGCUGAUACAACACAGAAUCCCCUUCAAAAUGAAAGGUCUUUAAACUGUACCCCAUCCAACUUUGGCAAGGGGACCUUCAGUUACUGUGAUCCUCCUUUCUAAACUGCCUUCUGAUUAGAUACCCAUCACAACAGCUUCUGUUUCUUUACUUUUUUUUUUUUUUUUUUAAUAAAAGGCUGCUGUGUGGUCAAUCUAAUGAACAUCAAGUCCACUUGUGUCAUAUAUGUGAUAUGUUUUACAUUUUUAUUCCUUUAUUGCUGAUGGUGCAGUGGUGUGGUUGUUAGAACUCCCGUUUCAAAAAGGUCUGGCUUUGAAGCUUCUCACCAGUUGGAUCCUUUAUGUGUAGCAUUUGCAUUUUGUCCCUGCACCUGCAUAGCUUCCCUCCAGUUCCUCCAUAUUCCUUCCCACAGUCCAACAGCAUGCAUAUUCGGUUGUUUAUUUAUGCAAAGAACAUUGAAUUAAAGCUUAAUAACAUGUACUAUAUAAGUGAAUUUACAUGUGUUGUUCAGACUGCACACAGACCUGAUCAUCUCAAAGUGAGCAUCAGUUUUAAACCCGACACUUUAGCCAAAUUGCAGAAGACAAGAUGUGAAAG